Molecule: long non-coding RNA, 7760 nt
Organism: Vicugna pacos (alpaca)
Lineage: Eukaryota; Metazoa; Chordata; Mammalia; Artiodactyla; Camelidae
Source: RefSeq, a predicted model, not a curated record
UUAACAUGGGCAUUUAAAAAAGACUCUUCUGUUUUAUUUGUUAUUUUUUUUUUUACUGAUCUUUGCACAUUUAAAAACCAUUGUGAACCUGGAGAUAUUAGAUAUCAUUAAUCCAGUCUUCUCAUGACUAAAUGAUAUUGUGAGAUUUCUCUCCCUGGAGAUAUUUUUAAAUGUCUUUUACAAUCACAGGAAGUCAGAGCUGGAAAAGAACUGAGAACAGUGUGAGGCCAGCAGAUGAGGAACUUGAGAUUCUGGAGAGGUGAUGGCUGGAUCACACGAAGAGAGUGAUAAGAUCUCAGGUCUCUGGACUCCCCAGACUGGGGGUCUUUGUGUAGACAAGGCCACUUCCAAUUUUGCUUCAUAAUUGUUACCCAAAGACAGCUAGGAAUUUCUCAGAGAAUCUGUGAACGUGCUUGUCAUGAAACAUUAAUCCAUGCCAGGACUUAAAGUAACAUAGAUCUAGCCAAAAUGUACCUUGGGCAAGAGCCAUGAAUCCCAGUGGGAGUGGGCUGGGGUAAGUAGUUAUAUUAAUAAAACCUUUCCGCAUGAACCGUAUGAGUCAGAUUCAAUAUAUGCAUACCGUCAAGAAGUUACACACAGAGGGAGUUUAAUUUUAGUUCAAACAGAUCACCCAUUUGCAUCUCCCUUCAGAAAUAAAGGGGGUGGAAGUUGUUAUGUCUUUCAAAUUAGAUUGAUGGCUUUAAAAGGGAAAACAAUCUGGAGGAGGGUCCUUUUCCUUGUGGACUGCUGCCUUGGGUGCCAUCUACUUCCAGCGGGGCUUGGACUUCCUGGCCAGUAGAGGUGGACGUGGAGAGUGUGCCUUUUCUCCAUGUUGCCUUAGCUGUGCUCAGGAAGCUCCCCAUCUGCCCCUUUCCUCUGUGAGUACUGCCCCAGGCUCUUUCCUGAGGCCUGUUGCUUCAGGCUGGUUGACAGCCAGGCAAGGGUGGCUGUGGCUGUGGGCCUAUGGGAGCUUCCUGUGCUGGUUGGUAUACAGAAUUUUCCUUAAGGAGAAGGAGAACCAAAGGAGUCAGCCAUCGUCCUGCUCCUUUGAGCUCCCUUCUGCUCACAUCUCUCCAGGAAGGCCUGCAGCAAGAAAAGAGGCUCAGGGAUGGGCCUUGACGACUUCAGAAAUAAUUCUGCCGCCCACACUCGGGGCUUGUUCCUGCUGCAUCCAUGUUAUCUCCACACCACCCUCUGCUUCUUGAGGUCCCAAGCAUGGGAGUCUGUGGGCAAAUGAGGAGGAUAGAGAAGGUGGUGUAUUACAGCCUCCUGUGGGCUUUGUGUCUGCUGACUGUGGGGACCCCAAUGGAGCCUUGUGGGAGAAACAGCCCACCAUUCCUGGGACAUUCCCAGUCUAAUAGGGAGAUGAUAAUCACCUGUGUGGUGGUCGCCUGUGCAAAGCAGUGCCUGAGCUGGGGGUCGCUUUGUUACCUCCUGGGUGCCAGUGCCAGUCCUAGGGAAAUGCAGCAGUGAGAUGAAGCUGGAUCUGAGCUGAGACAGGGAUUCUGUCCUCUCUGGACAGGCCAUUGUCCAUGAGAGGCAUUCAUGUGUUGAUUUGCAAAGUGCUCCUGAGCUCCUCUUUGGGGAUUUUUGUCCGGAGGGUAUCUCCAUUCCUGGAAUUCACUGAAAGCUCCCUGACAUGCCCUCUGCAACUCAUCAUGUUAAUGGGAAGGGAGGGCUGAGGUUCAGCCAGGAUGCCCCACCCCAGGAGCGUCAGGAUGGCUGUAUUGAUUGCAGAGUCUGAUGGAAGGUUACGGCCAUGGAUGGGGGUUCCCUGAUAGUGGAGGAAUAAAGCUCUGGCCCCAGAGCCUGUCUUCUUAAUUGGGCUCCCAGCCAGGGUUUCCUUAUCAAUUUCCUACUCCCCUGAGGCCUUCAUGCACACCCAACUAGAUCUGGCUUUCCUAACACCACUUAAUCAACCCCCCCCUCCAGCUGCUUAGAAACCCUUAAUGUGGGUCCUCUUGGCCUGGACUCAAGGCCCUGUAGGAUCAGGUGCAUAUCCACAAACAAUUGCCUUUACAACCUUAUCAAUGAAGAAGCCUCGCCUUUGCAGCAAAGCCAUUGUCUAGUCAGAUGGGGCCCACUCACAGUCCUCUGAAAAUUCCACCUUCGUUUGUAUCUUGCUGCCUUUCCCCAGGUUGUCCCCGUGUCUUCUGCUUCUUCACCCACUCAUAUCCAUUUCCUCCUUCAGUACCUGGCUCUUUGGCCUCCUCUGUUCAUCUAAGCAUACAAUUGCCCAUUUCACUAUUGUGUACUAAGUCCCCAGAGGCCAGGAACCCCAGUAACCUGCAGUGUGAGGCUGGGUGUGAUUUGAACACAGACUACUUCCUGGGUGAAUGGGGAGAGAUGGAGACUUGAAAUAAUGAACCCUCCAUGGGCCACUUAGUAUUAUUUCCUUGUUGACCUAGUGUCUGUACAUCCAUUUGCAGUGAGGUCUGGAAUUGUUUAAUGGGGCAGAGGAGAUGGAGGCAGAUGCCUCAGAAGUUUUUCAACAAAGCAGUGGUCAAGAGUAGGGUUGAAAUGGAGAAGGUGCUAGAGGCAAAAACAAACAAACAAAAACAAAGAAAACAAGAAACUGGAUUUAACAAGCCUUGUUGAUGGAAGGUGGGUGUACUGGGUUGAAUUAAGUGUCUGCUGAAAUUUGAUGUCUACCCCAAACCUCAGAAUAUGAGCUUUUUUGGAAAUAGGGCCUUUGCAGAUGUAAUUAGUUAGGGAGAGAUGGGGUUGUACUAAAGCCAACAACUGGUGUUCUUGUAAGAUGAGAGAGGGAGUUGUAGAGAGGAAGGCUGUAUGAAGAGGCGGGCAGAGAUGAGUGAUGGAGCUACAGGCCCAAGGGUAUCUAGGAUUCCUGGGUUACAACAGAAGCUGGGAAGAGCCAAGGAUGGAAUCUUCUAUAGAGCCUUCAGACUUUGAUUCUGGACUUUUGGGCUGAACUGCGAGAGAAUACAUUUCUGUUGUUUUAAGCCAUCCAGUUUGUGCUGAUUUGUCUUGGCAGCCCUAGGAAAGGAAUACAGUGGGGUUCAACAUACAUCUGGGGCAUAUGUAUCAGAAAUUCAAGGCAUCACAUUCUUGGAUGACAGAUUAUCUGUGUGUGUGUGCAGCACAUUGUGAUUCCAUUUAUGGUAAGAAGUUUGCACUUGUCAUUUGUGAUGCAGUUUUGCCAAGAACUACACAGUAACAAAGUCACUCUUGGAAGCCCUUAGUCACCUGAAUGGAGGUGGUCUGUGAAGCAUUUUGGCAUCUUGAGUGUGAUGGGGAGCCAUGGGCAGAGCCAUCUCUGCGAGGUACAGGAAGGAGAAGUCACACCAGGCAGGACCUCAUGGUCUCAUUUUUGUGCAGAAGAAAUCUGGUUAAAAUGGUUAUCAGGAAUAGGGACUUCCUCUCUUCCUGUGUGCUGGGAAGAGGGCAGAGAGAAGGGUGAUGGAGAGUGUGAAGAAGUGGAUGGGAUGUGGGUUUGCUUUGAUGCAAGUGAAAAAAAUAAAAAGAGGAAAAAAAGUGCUAGGCAACCCAAGUUGGCUUUUGCAAUGAGUACCAUGUAAAAGAACUGCCUUCUUUUUCUGGGCUACCAGGCAGCUCUGGCUGUCUGUCCCCAAAGCAGCGAGAAUCCCACAAAGCAGAAGGUGGGACAAGAGACAGCUCUGCUCUUGGAGGAUGUCCUUAGGCAUCAUUGCAGAGCCUUCUCACAUCCCCUUCUCAGUGUUAGAGGUCGUGAGGUGUCAUGGGAUGCAUGCUGGAAGCCUGGCCUGGUUCCACUCAUUGUCACUGUUCUCUUUGAGCAAGUCUGUCUCCCUCUUGGAGUCUUGGUCUUCCUCCUUUAAUAGGAUGCAUAUGACGUUGGUGUGAACAUUGAGGAAGAACUUUGUGAACCUUAAGAUACUAGGUAAUAUUGUGUCUUCGAGUCCUCCCUAGAACUGAGCAGGAUGAUAGGGUGGAUUCCUCAUCCUUUGGGGUUCUGGGGUUGCUCACAGACUGUGUGAAAGGUAAUGCAGGUGGGGAUUAUGAAAAAGUUCUGGAGAUGGUCAUGUUGGUUGUACAACAAUGUGAAUGUACUUAAUGCCACCAAACUGUAUAUUUUAAAACGGUUAAAAUGCUAAACUUUUCGUUAUAUGUAUAUUUUACCACAAACAAAAAAUCACAAGCACCUUCCUCCCCAAAACAAAGUAAUGCAGAUAUCAGACAAAGCUGAUAUUCAAGUAAAUUUCACACUCUGGGUGUCAUGGGUGAUUAUUGCAAUUUCUGGUAAACACUCACUAUUUACAGUGAUUGUGAGGAAUUAGCCCUGUUUACUAGGACUCAAUUAACGCAAUAUAUUAUCCUUUCUUUGGGAUGGCUUUAGAAGUUCCCUUGGGGGAGAGUAAGUUAGAUCACAGCGAUUAGAUUGAAAUGGACCGCAAACCGUGCUUACUAGCCUAUGAUCUGAGAUCACCUCGUUGGCUCUAUCUCUGUCCCCAAGGUUCUGCUCCCUCCUCGGCACUACUCUUUCCUCUUUCUUCCUUCCCUUUGGCUCACUAUUUACUUUUUAUCCCGUGGAUGGGAUAAAGGAUGGACCUGGGUUUGCAUCUGUGGCACAGAUACAUGCGAGUGUCAUGUGGCCUCAUGCACUUCACCAAAAACGUCCCGUGCUAUCACAGACCCUGGUCCUCUGGCUCAGACUUUGCUCCUAGAAGUGAGAGCUAUUGGCACACUUCCAAGAGCAUUUCAUUCUCCAGGCCUGUGGGCAUCUACAUCAAAGCCUCACAGCGUCACCUCCCAGUUUUCUACUUUCUCAAGCCCUGAGUUGCUUCUGAAGGUCAGAACCACAGGUACCACCUGAUGGCCUCUCUGCUUCUCAGGAGGCCCCCUCAGGCUGAAGGCCCAGAAAAUCACUCAGAAAGGGGCUGAAAGAUGGAUAUCAUUUGGAUUGAGAAAUUGUUUCUUUUAGGCAUCAAAUAAAAUGUUUAAAGUUUCAUGUUCAGAUAUUAGGACCUGUCCUGUGCCUCCUCCAGGUCAUCUCUGACAGUGACGCAGAACUCUGUUGAAUGCAGGACUGCCUGUGGCGCUGGGCGAUGUGCGUCGUGCACAGAUGUCAGAUGUCCUGGCUGCACGUGUGUCUGUGUUCAGGGCAGGUAGCCCAUCUACAAAGAGAGAGUAGGGUGGGAAAACUCAGUGCCUUCCUUUUGGGCUGCUUCUUGUUGAAUUUUGCUCCACAGGUUGGAGGACAAGAUCCAGUCCUCCUAACUAGGCCUUUUAGAGUCUGGGUGGCCUGGAUGCUCGCUGGAGCCUCGGAGGCUCCAAAACAAGGAGCUCACUGCCUCAUGCAGUCACAGAGGCAGGAGUAAGAGCCAGUGUGAAGGUGCAGGAGUUGGAAGGAAAUUGGAAAUCAGCUCCUUGUGGUCCUUCACAUUGAGAUUCGCAAAGGAAAAUGAGAUGUCUCCUCACUGAAAGCAGGAUGGAGCCUCCUUCGUGCCCAAGAUGCCCUUCCUCACUGCAGGUGAUUCCAAAGGAGAGCAAGAAGCAUGCCCUCCAAAUACCACCAAAGGAGAUAAGCGUGCCUAAGGAUGAGCGCACGUUCGUGUGUGGGAUGUGUCUGCUGCAUAAACAAUUCUUCAUGAGUACGAGAAGGUGCCUGAUGGAGUGAACACCGGUGCCUCCUUCUCACACUCCAAAUCCCCAGUCCCUGCUGCAGCUGUGUGCAAAAUCACAGCAUCCUCACCAGGACUGUACAGGGAACAAAGGCAAACCACCCACAGUCCCCUCCACUGUAUUCAAAACACGUCAUAAAUAAGAUGACAUUUGAAGAUGAGAAGGGUUUAAAAAAAAAGCUCUGGCAUGACUGUAUGAGUGCCUAAAAGUGGGUGUUGGCUAGAGAUUUCAUGUUCUCACGAGCCUGGGGUUUGGAAGCACUCUUAGCACACCUCUUUAGAGAGAAGAUGUAAAGACAUGAGCAAUGGACGCAUCCAUGAAGAGCAAGCAGCUCCUGCAUGACUUGCCGAUGGAGGGUUGACCACUGCCACAGAGGGGAGGGACCAUGGAUUCCAUCGUAGGACACUUGAACCAUCUUUUGUGUUUCCCGAAUCAUUAAAAAUAGAAAGGAACCACCAUGAAUGGAGUAGAUGAAGUCUUCCAGAGAAGAGUGGCAAAGUUUGUUCUGACAAAUCACCUAGCAAGCGAUGUGAAAGCAGUCUGGAGAACGAUGCCCUCAUCUAAUGCUGCAUCAGUGUGUGCCUCCUGUAGCCUAAAUAUGUUGUUGACAUUAAAAUAGAUUUUUGUUAGUGUUCUUUAUAGAUAGAAAUAGAGAAAAAUAGGUUCUUAGACACAGUGAAAAAUAGGUUUGAGAAUUGGUGCUGCAUAAGGAGUAAAAAGAAAUGAUAUAAAGGUAGAAGAAGAAAUGUAUAAAUAUUACCACAGGACACUGAAUUUUAGGGCCUUUACUCAGGGAUUGGGAAAAAUUGGAUAAGUUUAUAAAAGACAUUGAGACGCUGUAGAAAGAAACUAGAUAAUGUAGAGGAAUAAUGUCCUUUUGGGAGUUUAAGACAAAACAAAUAAGUUUUCAAGAAAGGAGUAUCUCAGGAUCUUAAAGAACUAUAAAGUGUAGUUCCAUAGCUUAGAAAGAUAACCCAUUUCUGGGAACCUUUAUCUCUAUUCCAGACAGUGGGCAUGUUCUUGGUCUGAUCAGGAAGAUCCUGAGACAAUUUCAGAGGAUUUCUGGCUGAAGAAAACAUACUGAUGACCAUCCUGAUGAGCUUGGGCCCUUUAACAUCAGAAGUCCCCACCCCUGGGCUGGGUGGCCCUUGGCCAUGGUCCUCAUAUUUUAACCUCCAGGCUAGCUCUGGGCCAACCUCCAAUUCUGUGCCCCUCCUUCUGAGCUUCCCUGCACACAGUCUUGCUCCUGGGUCACCUGACUGAAUUGUAAUACCUGAGAACUUGCUCCCAUCUCUGCAUGACCAAGCCUUGGCCACACCACUAUUUCUGUUGAUUUAGUUGCAACAUCUGCCCCCUGCUGGGGUGGUCAUAGCUUUUGUAGCUUACAGAUAUCCAGCCUGAACCCAAUCUCUUCUGUUCUGAGGAGCAAGAAGCACUGUCUUUUGGAUUCACGGCAGAACUCACACACUUACAUGAGCAAAGUCAGUUUCCAUAUCUGUCACUGCAUCCAUACUGGAAGUGGCCUUGGUCCAGCCAUUCCUUACCUCUGUUUCAGAUAAACUCAGCUGGCAAGUAAAAUCUUGGUGCUCUUCCUUCAACUUGUCAAGAUGAAAAUGAAGCGAAAGACUUUAUCGAGAAAUGGAGAACCACAUGGCUGGUCCUUGCUGCUGCAUGAACCUUGGAUCUUGAGCUCAAAGAUGAUAGUGUACAUGGAGGUGGCACAUCUGCUACAUUUGCCUGGCACACCUGUAAAAUAGGCAGCAUAUUUCAGCCUUCAGUGUUAGGUUAGUGUUCCCAAAUAUAGACUGAAAAGAUCCUCAGGUGUUCAAUUCUAACAUAGAGCGAGGAUUCUGUCCUGCAAAUGCAUCCUGCAGCAUUGGGAAAGGAUCCAGUCUUCUGUGUCUCCUGCUUCAAAUCUUCCAUCUUCUAGAGGCUAUAGAAAGAUGUGGGGUUUACAUCUUGAAAUAUGUGCCUUGAACAAGAAUAGCUAACAUGUAGAAAACUUGUCUUAUUUUGAACAACUUCUCAGUUUACAGAAGCCUAUGGAAAUAUCAAAAUAAAGCAUCAGAGGAAGCAAUAAUCUUAGAGGUCAUUAACUAAGGGGAUAACCUGCAAAAUAAAGUUCUUUGUGGCCCAAA